GACGAACGCUGGCGGCGUGCUUAACACAUGCAAGUCGAACGGAAAGGCCCUGCUUUUGUGGGGUGCUCGAGUGGCGAACGGGUGAGUAACACGUGAGUAACCUGUCCCUGACUUUGGGAUAACUUCAUGAAACUGGGGCUAAUACCGGAUAGGAUCUCCUGCCUCAUAGUGGGGGUUGGUAAGUUUCGGCGGUUGGUGAUGGACUCGCGUCUUAUCAGCUUGUUGGUGGGGUAGUGGCUUACCAAGGCUUGGACGGGUAGCCUGCCUGAGAGGGUGAGCGGCCACGUUAGGCCGGGAAUGAGGCACAGACUAGAAUGGGACGGAGGAGUGGGGAAUAGUGCACUAUAGACGGAAGCCUGAUGUAGCAAAGCCGCGUGCGGGAUGACGGGAAGCGGGUUGUGUAGCAAUUUCGCCUGUGACGAGGCGUGAGUGACGGUAAUGGGUAAAUAAGCACCGGCUAACUACGUG
This 468-nucleotide ribosomal RNA is filed under the name uncultured bacterium. Its description in RNAcentral is "partial 16S ribosomal RNA". It matches the Rfam family "Bacterial small subunit ribosomal RNA", at positions 28 to 507 of the family's 1533-position model. The record is from RNAcentral.